GACAAGGGCAGCUUGAGAUCAGGAUUUGAGUAGUGGUGGUGUUAUACCUUCUGUACAUGGCCCAGUGGCAGAGUCGGUAUGAAAACCUGUCCCUUCAGAAUGCCAACCAGAAAGACAAUGCCAAAGGAAUUUUGUCACACCCAAGAUGGGCCAUUGAUGGAUUUAA
This is a long non-coding RNA of Panthera uncia (snow leopard), 166 nucleotides long. RefSeq lists it as uncharacterized. The record is from RefSeq and is a predicted model, not a curated record. NCBI's taxonomy places the organism in Eukaryota, Metazoa, Chordata, Mammalia, Carnivora, Felidae. The transcript is spliced from 2 exons.